This 296-nucleotide ribosomal RNA is filed under the name Theileria velifera. Its description in RNAcentral is "partial small subunit ribosomal RNA". It matches the Rfam family "Eukaryotic small subunit ribosomal RNA", at positions 621 to 952 of the family's 1831-position model. The record is from RNAcentral. Lineage: Eukaryota; Apicomplexa; Aconoidasida; Piroplasmida; Theileriidae.
AAAAAGCUCGUAGUUGAAUUUCUGCUACAUUGCCUAUUCUCCUUUACGAGUUUGGGUCUUUUGUGGCUUAUCUGGGUUCGCUUGCGUUCCCGGUGUUUUACUUUGAGAAAAUUAGAGUGCUCAAAGCAGGCUUUUGCCUUGAAUAGUUUAGCAUGGAAUAAUAAAGUAGGACUUUGGUUCUAUUUUGUUGGUUUUAGGUACCAAAGUAAUGGUUAAUAGGAACAGUUGGGGGCAUUCGUAUUUAACUGUCAGAGGUGAAAUUCUUAGAUUUGUUAAAGACAAACUACUGCGAAAGA